RNAcentral lists this small RNA (25 nucleotides) under Bombyx mori (domestic silkworm). Its description in RNAcentral is "ovarian small RNA-37439". The record is from RNAcentral. Lineage: Eukaryota; Metazoa; Arthropoda; Insecta; Lepidoptera; Bombycidae.
UUCGUGUUCGAGAUGUUUGCACUGC